Molecule: transfer RNA, 69 nt
Filed under: Fissurella volcano
Lineage: Eukaryota; Metazoa; Mollusca; Gastropoda; Lepetellida; Fissurellidae
Description: tRNA-Ser
Source: RNAcentral
CAGGUAAAAGCCAAAAAAGAGGCGCUUGUUUGUUAAUCAAGUUAUUGUGUUAGGUGAGCACUUACUUGG